RNAcentral lists this transfer RNA (85 nucleotides) under Candidatus Campbelliibacteriota bacterium. Its description in RNAcentral is "Candidatus Campbellbacteria bacterium tRNA-Leu". It matches the Rfam family "tRNA". Rfam says of the family: Transfer RNA (tRNA) molecules are approximately 80 nucleotides in length. Their secondary structure includes four short double-helical elements and three loops (D, anti-codon, and T loops). The record is from RNAcentral. Lineage: Bacteria; Candidatus Campbelliibacteriota.
GCCCGAAUGGCGGAAUUGGUAGACGCGCUGGUCUUAGGAACCAGUGGAGCAAUCCAUGGAGGUUCGAGCCCUCUUUCGGGUACAA